GGCGCGGUAGCCAAAUUGGUAAGGCAGAUGACUGCAACUCUUCGAUUGUCGGUUCAAGUCCGAUUCGCGCCUCCA
RNAcentral lists this transfer RNA (75 nucleotides) under Mycoplasmataceae bacterium. Its description in RNAcentral is "tRNA-Cys". It matches the Rfam family "tRNA". From Rfam's summary of the family: Transfer RNA (tRNA) molecules are approximately 80 nucleotides in length. Their secondary structure includes four short double-helical elements and three loops (D, anti-codon, and T loops). RNAcentral also lists the same sequence under 1 other name. Lineage: Bacteria; Bacillati; Mycoplasmatota; Mollicutes; Mycoplasmatales; Mycoplasmataceae. The record is from RNAcentral.